ACACCUCAACUCUCGUGGUCCGCCAUGAUGAGCUUGGACUUUGGGGGUCUUGCCGGCCUAGUGUCGGCUCCUCUCAAACGGAUCAGCUUGCCAGUGUUUGGUGGCGUCACAGGUGUGAUAACUAUCUACGCUUGUGGUCCCCUGCCAUGCAACCUUCAGCAAUGGAGGUUCGCUGGAGCUCACAGAUGUCUCUCCUCGGCGAGGACAGCUUUUUGAAC
This 218-nucleotide unclassified non-coding RNA is filed under the name uncultured Thelephoraceae. RNAcentral's name for it is "sequence contains ITS2". The record is from RNAcentral. Lineage: Eukaryota; Fungi; Basidiomycota; Agaricomycetes; Thelephorales; Thelephoraceae.